Long non-coding RNA from Schistocerca nitens (vagrant locust), 1441 nucleotides. RefSeq lists it as uncharacterized. The record is from RefSeq and is a predicted model, not a curated record. Lineage: Eukaryota; Metazoa; Arthropoda; Insecta; Orthoptera; Acrididae. The transcript has 4 exons.
AUCUCAUUAUCAUUUACUUUAGCUUUUUUCAAGUAAACUAACUGUGCAGCGUUAACUACUGGUGUAUAGUGGCUUCAGUUGUAUUUGAAAACUGCAGGUUAAGAACUAGAUUUUAUUUUGACUGUUUAUAUCUGGAUUACAGAUCUUUUCGUACUGAGGUGUGAACUGAAAACAAUAAUCCGAAUUUCCUUCAGUCACCUGAGUCUCGACGUUCAAAUUAUAUUUUGUGAAGGAAAGGAGUGAGUAGUAAUUAUUUUAAAACUAAUCAGUUUUGAGCAGUAGUUUAUGGUAAGAACUUGCGUUAGACAGGUUUCAGUUUUUAUCUGGCGUGCAGUUUUAACUUCGUUCUUUUUGUGUAGAGAGAAUUUGUCUACACGAAGAAUUAAUGGCAUUAACCACACAAAGACAUCAUACAAUCGUCAGAUAUUUUUGUGACAGUCAGUCUGCCAGGUGGCUAGAACGGCAUAUGUGUACGUGUGUGUGUUGCGUUCAAUGAUAUGCCUGAUAUGCUACAUUAGGAUUGCCAUUAGACGAGAAGCAAGAGGCAGGCUGCGUACUGUGAAAGCACCUUCACGCUGUGCGAGGACGCCUUCUGGCAGAACUGAGAUCUUUAAUGUACUGACCGAUGGACGGCAGCACAUACCAAAAUUUGGAAGCUACACCACUUCCGGUGUCCUGAAUCCCUCUGAGUGGACACGUCGCAAUGACAUUAUUUCGAUUGUGCUGUAGCAGCAACAAUAAAACGAGAAGUGGCGGAAAAUACGGAUGACUUGGAAUUUUAAUUCCUGUACUGAAGUUCCGCAAAAUAGACGCGAGGAGGCAAAGGCUCCGAUGAUAAUUUCGGUGUUUUGCUCUGAGAUAUCGCUUAGCUGAAGAGAGACAGUGAGAGAGAGAGAGAGAGAGAGAGAGAACGAAAGCCGGAUAACGUACGAAAUUACCGACUAUGAAGAAGAGAAGCCAUUUAUUCGUGGAAGAGCGCUCCUAAGUGGAGUGUGAACCGCAUUCCCGUCUGUAAGGACACGGCCGGCUCUGAGAGAAAAGCACGUCAGUGGCGAGAAAGAGGCGACGGGCAGCGAACACCGCUGUACACCGUUCAGGAGCGGCCUCUCCGGUAGGCCGGCGCUGCAGACACCCCUCCAGCCUUGUCUGGACUCCCUCUCAGUCCCCGGCGGGGACAGCAUGAACGCGCUACUGCUGUACCGGCGUUGACCACCGCUUGUGAUCGCUUCCACGGCCGCUCGCUGCUCAUUCCGUGAGGAAGGACCGCUGCUUCUUCAACAGGACGCAGCAGCCGCAGCAGGCCCUACAACGUGCACCCGCAACGACAAAGGUAGGCGGGAUGGAGGGUGAGGCGGAGGCGACCACGCUGUCGCUGGCGCUGACCAACUGGACGACGGCGGCGGUGACGGCUGCGGCCUCGGCUGCUGACCUCGACGGCAAC